UGGCCAUGAUGGCCGCGUCGGGUAUGCUGGGGACAGAUCCUCCUCUCCUCCUGAGCCCUGGUCCCUUUUCCUAAAGGAAGCUUGACUCAUUUCAUCAAAUAGCCUUUGAGAAUCCUGGUCACUGGUAUUGAAACAACAUUGCAAGGUGUUGAGCGUUUGUGCAGGCCCUGCUGGUGAGGUGAGACUCAUCUCCUUCUUUGGAGAGCUUCAGGGAGAGUAAAGCUCCUUCU
Molecule: long non-coding RNA, 230 nt
Filed under: Pan troglodytes (chimpanzee)
Lineage: Eukaryota; Metazoa; Chordata; Mammalia; Primates; Hominidae
Description: long non-coding RNA NONPTRT005271
Source: RNAcentral